GUACUGCUGAAGGGUCUCAAACUAGCGGGACGAAACAGCUGUCCAGUAC
Molecule: non-coding RNA, 49 nt
Filed under: Trichobilharzia regenti
Lineage: Eukaryota; Metazoa; Platyhelminthes; Trematoda; Strigeidida; Schistosomatidae
Source: RNAcentral